Molecule: ribosomal RNA, 907 nt
Filed under: uncultured Streptococcus sp.
Lineage: Bacteria; Bacillati; Bacillota; Bacilli; Lactobacillales; Streptococcaceae
Description: bacterial SSU rRNA
Rfam family: Bacterial small subunit ribosomal RNA
Source: RNAcentral
UGCAGUAGAACGCUGAAGGAGGAGCUUGCUUCUCUGGAUGAGUUGCGAACGGGUGAGUAACGCGUAGGUAACCUGCCUGGUAGCGGGGGAUAACUAUUGGAAACGAUAGCUAAUACCGCAUAAGAGUAGAUGUCGCAUGACAUUUGCUUAAAAGGUGCAAUUGCAUCACUACCAGAUGGACCUGCGUUGUAUUAGCUAGUUGGUGGGGUAACGGCUCACCAAGGCAACGAUACAUAGCCGACCUGAGAGGGUGAUCGGCCACACUGGGACUGAGACACGGCCCAGACUUCUACGGGAGGCAGCAGUAGGGAAUCUUCGGCAAUGGACGGAAGUCUGACCGAGCAACGCCGCGUGAGUGAAGAAGGUUUUCGGAUCGUAAAGCUCUGUUGUAAGAGAAGAACGAGUGUGAGAGUGGAAAGUUCACACUGUGACGGUAUCUUACCAGAAAGGGACGGCUAACUACGUGCCAGCAGCCGCGGUAAUACGUAGGUCCCGAGCGUUGUCCGGAUUUAUUGGGCGUAAAGCGAGCGCAGGCGGUUAGAUAAGUCUGAAGUUAAAGGCUGUGGCUUAACCAUAGUACGCUUUGGAAACUGUUUAACUUGAGUGCAAGAGGGGAGAGUGGAAUUCCAUGUGUAGCGGUGAAAUGCGUAGAUAUAUGGAGGAACACCGGUGGCGAAAGCGGCUCUCUGGCUUGUAACUGACGCUGAGGCUCGAAAGCGUGGGGAGCAAACAGGAUUAGAUACCCUGGUAGUCCACGCCGUAAACGAUGAGUGCUAGGUGUUAGACCCUUUCCGGGGUUUAGUGCCGCAGCUAACGCAUUAAGCACUCCGCCUGGGGAGUACGACCGCAAGGUUGAAACUCAAAGGAAUUGACGGGGGCCCGCACAAGCGGUGGAGCAUGUGGUUUA